GAUGAAAACGCAGUGAAAUGCGAUAAGUAGUGUGAAUUGCAGAAUUCAGUGAAUCAUCGAAUCUUUGAACGCACAUUGCGCCCCUCGGUAUUCCGUGGGGCAUGCCUGUUCGAGCGUCAUCUACACCCUCAAGCUCUGCUUGGUGUUGGGCGUCUGUCCCGCCUCCGCGCGUGGACUCGCCCCAAAUUCAUUGGCAGCGGUCCUUGCCUCCUCUCGCGCAGCACAUUGCGCUUCUUGAGGGGCUCCGGUUCGCGUCCAACAAGCACAUUUACCGUCUUUGACCUCGGAUCAGGUAGGGAUACCCGCUGAACUUAAGCAUAUCAAUAAGCGGAGGA
This 335-nucleotide unclassified non-coding RNA is filed under the name soil metagenome. RNAcentral's name for it is "partial contains 5.8S ribosomal RNA, internal transcribed spacer 2, and large subunit ribosomal RNA". The stretch from base 1 to 119 matches the Rfam family "5.8S ribosomal RNA", at positions 35 to 154 of the family's 154-position model. The record is from RNAcentral.